RNAcentral lists this small RNA (28 nucleotides) under Bombyx mori (domestic silkworm). Its description in RNAcentral is "ovarian small RNA-22726". Lineage: Eukaryota; Metazoa; Arthropoda; Insecta; Lepidoptera; Bombycidae. The record is from RNAcentral.
UAGGGUCAAAGUGUCCCGUUAUGAUGUC